RNAcentral lists this ribosomal RNA (466 nucleotides) under uncultured bacterium. RNAcentral's name for it is "partial 16S ribosomal RNA". It matches the Rfam family "Bacterial small subunit ribosomal RNA", at positions 28 to 507 of the family's 1533-position model. The record is from RNAcentral.
GACGAACGCUGGCGGCGUGCUUAACACAUGCAAGUCGAACGGAAAGGCCCUGCUUGCAGGGUACUCGAGUGGCGAACGGGUGAGUAACACGUGGGUGAUCUGCCCUGCACUUCGGGAUAAGCUUGGGAAACUGGGUCUAAUACCGGAUAGGAGCCAUCUUUAGUGUGGUGGUUGGAAAGUUGUUUCGGUGUAGGAUGAGCUCGCGGCCUAUCAGCUUGUUGGUGGGGUAAUGGCCUACCAAGGCGGCGACGGGUAGCCGGCCUGAGAGGGUGUACGGCCACAUUGGGACGGAGAUACGGCCCAGACUCCUACGGGAGGCAGCAGUGGGGAAUAUUGCACAAUGGGCGCAAGCCUGAUGCAGCGACGCCGCGUGGGGGAUGAAGGCCUUCGGGUUGUAAACUCCUUUCGCUAGGGACGAAGCUUUGUUGUGACGGUACCUAGAUAAGAAGCACCGGCUAACUACGUG